UCCGGAGCGCGUGGCGCAUGACGACCUGACGGAAGGCCACGCCCUUCAGGCGGGCGGUGCGGAUGUAUUGCUGGGUCAUCACUUCCGUCAUGGAGGCGCGGGUCAUGCGGGCGAUGUAGCCGAUGCCGUAGAGCGCGAUGGUCAUGACGGGCAGGAAGAAGUUCCAGAAGGUGAUGUCG
Molecule: non-coding RNA, 179 nt
Filed under: Rhodobacter sp. CACIA14H1
Lineage: Bacteria; Pseudomonadati; Pseudomonadota; Alphaproteobacteria; Rhodobacterales
Description: Ruegeria cis52 sRNA
Rfam family: Ruegeria cis52 sRNA
About the family: Cis-encoded.
Source: Rfam by way of RNAcentral